Molecule: ribosomal RNA, 494 nt
Filed under: uncultured bacterium
Lineage: Bacteria
Description: partial 16S ribosomal RNA
Rfam family: Bacterial small subunit ribosomal RNA
Source: RNAcentral
GACGAACGCUGGCGGCGUGCUUAACACAUGCAACUCGAACGGUGAAGCGCCUUCCUUUUUGGUGGGUGUGGAUGAGUGGCGAACGGGUGAGUAACACGUGAGUAACCUGCCCCCUUCUUCUGGAUAACCGCAUGAAAGUGUGGCUAAUACGGGAUAUUCUGGGUCUGUCGCAUGAUGGGUCUGGGAAAGAUAUUGUUUCGGUGGGGGAUGGGCUCGCGGCCUAUCAGCUUGUUGGUGGGGUGAUGGCCUACCAAGGCGGUGACGGGUAGCCGGCCUGAGAGGGUGGACGGUCACACUGGGACUGAGACACGGCCCAGACUCCUACGGGAGGCAGCAGUGGGGAAUAUUGCACAAUGGGCGCAAGCCUGAUGCAGCGACGCCGCGUGAGGGAUGGAGGCCUUCGGGUUGUGAACCUCUUUCGCCAGUGAAGCAGGCCUGCCUCGUUUGUGGGUGGGUUGACGGUAGCUGGAUAAGAAGCGCCGGCUAACUACGUG